UACGGGGGAUGCGAGCGUUAUCCGGGUUUAUUGGGUUUAAAGGGUGCGUAGGCGGAUCGUUAAGUCAGUGGUCAAAUUGAGGGGCUCAACCCCUUCCCGCCAUUGAAACUGGCGAUCUUGAGUGGAAGAGAAGUAUGCGGAAUGCGUGGUGUAGCGGUGAAAUGCAUAGAUAUCACGCAGAACCCCGAUUGCGAAGGCAGCAUGCCGGCUUCCUACUGACGCUGAAGCACGAAAGCGUGGGGAUCGAACAGG
Molecule: ribosomal RNA, 252 nt
Filed under: uncultured bacterium
Lineage: Bacteria
Description: partial 16S ribosomal RNA
Rfam family: Bacterial small subunit ribosomal RNA
Source: RNAcentral